RNAcentral lists this ribosomal RNA (255 nucleotides) under uncultured bacterium. Its description in RNAcentral is "partial 16S ribosomal RNA". It matches the Rfam family "Bacterial small subunit ribosomal RNA", at positions 57 to 305 of the family's 1533-position model. The record is from RNAcentral.
GCAAGUCGAACGAGGAGCCUGGUAUUCGUAUCGGGAUUUCCUAGUGGCGAACGGGUGAGUAACGCGUUGGUAAUCUGCCCCAAAGAAGGGAAUAACAGUUCGAAAGGACUGCUAAUACCCUAUGUGAUACUAGAGUUUAGACACUCUUUUAUUAAAGGAGUAAUCCGCUUUGGGAUGAGCCUGCGUCCCAUCAGCUAGUUGGUAGGGUAAUGGCCUACCAAGGCGACGACGGGUAGGGGACCUGAGAGGGUGGCC